RNAcentral lists this ribosomal RNA (497 nucleotides) under uncultured bacterium. RNAcentral's name for it is "partial 16S ribosomal RNA". It matches the Rfam family "Bacterial small subunit ribosomal RNA", at positions 28 to 507 of the family's 1533-position model. The record is from RNAcentral.
GACGAACGCUGGCGGCGUGCCUAAUACAUGCAAGCAGAACGCUGAAGAGAGGAGCUUGCUCUUCUUGGAUGAGUUGCGAACGGGUGAGUAACGCGUAGGUAACCUGCCUUGUAGCGGGGGAUAACUAUUGGAAACGAUAGCUAAUACCGCAUAACAAUGGAUGACACAUGUCAUUUAUUUGAAAGGGGCAAUUGCUCCACUACAAGAUGGACCUGCGUUGUAUUAGCUAGUAGGUGAGGUAAUGGCUCACCUAGGCGACGAUACAUAGCCGACCUGAGAGGGUGAUCGGCCACACUGGUACUGAGACACGGCCCAGACUCCUACGGGAGGCAGCAGUAGGGAAUCUUCGGCAAUGGGGGCAACCCUGACCGAGCAACGCCGCGUGAGUGAAGAAGGUUUUCGGAUCGUAAAGCUCUGUUGUAAGUCAAGAACGGGUGUGAGAGUGGAAAGUUCACACUGUGACGGUAGCUUACCAGAAAGGGACGGCUAACUACGUG